GACGAACGCUGGCGGCGUGCUUAACACAUGCAAGUCGAACGGAAAGGCCCUGCUUUUGUGGGGUGCUCGAGUGGCGAACGGGUGAGUAACACGUGAGUAACCUGCCCUUGACUUUGGGAUAACUUCAGGAAACUGGGGCUAAUACCGGAUAGGAGCUCCUGCUGCAUGUUGGGGGUUGGAAAGUUUCGGCGGUUGGGGAUGGACUCGCGGCUUAUCAGCUUGUUGGUGGGGUAGUGGCUUACCAAGGCUUUGACGGGUAGCCGGCCUGAGAGGGUGUCCGGCCACAUUGGGACUGAGAUACGGCCCAGACUCCUACGGGAGGCAGCAGUGGGGAAUAUUGCACAAUGGGCGGAAGCCUGAUGCAGCAACGCCGCGUGCGGGAUGACGGCCUUCGGGUUGUAAACCGCUUUCGCCUGUGACGAAGCGUGAGUGACGGUAAUGGGUAAAGAAGCACCGGCUAACUACGUG
RNAcentral lists this ribosomal RNA (468 nucleotides) under uncultured bacterium. RNAcentral describes it as "partial 16S ribosomal RNA". It matches the Rfam family "Bacterial small subunit ribosomal RNA", at positions 28 to 507 of the family's 1533-position model. The record is from RNAcentral.